ACGAGCUCCUGGUGCACAUCCACUCUCACUGAGGGGGUGGUGUAUGAGGUGGAGCUCAGUGUUUGCAUGUCUGCAUGCAAUGUAAUUGCAAACUGUCCUUGUCCCCACCGGGCCCACUGCCUGCAGCCCCAGCAGGGUGAGGUCCUGCCCGGCGCUGCUGCCUGUGCUGGCCCUGCAGCAAAAGAGCUGGAGGAAGGUGCCCGAGAGGAUGGACUCAUGGACUCCCUAAGCUCGGUGCCCGAGGUGUCUGCAUUGUGCGUGCUCUCCCAGCACGACUCAGUUGCUGCCUCUCUGAUGCUCUUCUGUCAUGUUCAGCAUCUUGUAUGA
This 327-nucleotide long non-coding RNA is filed under the name Junco hyemalis (dark-eyed junco). Its description in RNAcentral is "lncRNA (ENSJHYG00000016078.1)". Lineage: Eukaryota; Metazoa; Chordata; Aves; Passeriformes; Passerellidae. The record is from RNAcentral.